This 1213-nucleotide ribosomal RNA is filed under the name Klebsiella pneumoniae. RNAcentral's name for it is "bacterial SSU rRNA". It matches the Rfam family "Bacterial small subunit ribosomal RNA", at positions 39 to 1242 of the family's 1533-position model. The record is from RNAcentral. Lineage: Bacteria; Pseudomonadati; Pseudomonadota; Gammaproteobacteria; Enterobacterales; Enterobacteriaceae.
GCAGUGCCGCUGCUACCAUGCAGUCGAGCGGUAGCACAGAGAGCUUGCUCUCGGGUGACGAGCGGCGGACGGGUGAGUAAUGUCUGGGAAACUGCCUGAUGGAGGGGGAUAACUACUGGAAACGGUAGCUAAUACCGCAUAACGUCGCAAGACCAAAGUGGGGGACCUUCGGGCCUCAUGCCAUCAGAUGUGCCCAGAUGGGAUUAGCUAGUAGGUGGGGUAACGGCUCACCUAGGCGACGAUCCCUAGCUGGUCUGAGAGGAUGACCAGCCACACUGGAACUGAGACACGGUCCAGACUCCUACGGGAGGCAGCAGUGGGGAAUAUUGCACAAUGGGCGCAAGCCUGAUGCAGCCAUGCCGCGUGUAUGAAGAAGGCCUUCGGGUUGUAAAGUACUUUCAGCGGGGAGGAAGGCGAUAAGGUUAAUAACCUUGUCGAUUGACGUUACCCGCAGAAGAAGCACCGGCUAACUCCGUGCCAGCAGCCGCGGUAAUACGGAGGGUGCAAGCGUUAAUCGGAAUUACUGGGCGUAAAGCGCACGCAGGCGGUCUGUCAAGUCGGAUGUGAAAUCCCCGGGCUCAACCUGGGAACUGCAUUCGAAACUGGCAGGCUAGAGUCUUGUAGAGGGGGGUAGAAUUCCAGGUGUAGCGGUGAAAUGCGUAGAGAUCUGGAGGAAUACCGGUGGCGAAGGCGGCCCCCUGGACAAAGACUGACGCUCAGGUGCGAAAGCGUGGGGAGCAAACAGGAUUAGAUACCCUGGUAGUCCACGCCGUAAACGAUGUCGAUUUGGAGGUUGUGCCCUUGAGGCGUGGCUUCCGGAGCUAACGCGUUAAAUCGACCGCCUGGGGAGUACGGCCGCAAGGUUAAAACUCAAAUGAAUUGACGGGGGCCCGCACAAGCGGUGGAGCAUGUGGUUUAAUUCGAUGCAACGCGAAGAACCUUACCUGGUCUUGACAUCCACAGAACUUGCCAGAGAUGGCUUUGGUGCCUUCGGGAACUGUGAGACAGGUGCUGCAUGGCUGUCGUCAGCUCGUGUUGUGAAAUGUUGGGUUAAGUCCCGCAACGAGCGCAACCCUUAUCCCUUUGUUGCCAGCGGUUCGGCCGGGAACUCAAGGAGACUGCCAGUGAUAACUGAGAGGUGGGGAUGACGUCAGUCAUCAUGGUCCUUUACGACCAAGGCUUAACCACCACGUGCUAACAAAUGCCACUAUGA